Paramuricea clavata is the source of this 589-nucleotide non-coding RNA. NCBI's taxonomy places the organism in Eukaryota, Metazoa, Cnidaria, Anthozoa, Malacalcyonacea, Plexauridae. The record is from the annotation of a GenBank genome assembly.
UACUAAGACACCUUGCCCUUCCUAUUAAAAUCAUUCCUCCCUAUUUAGAGACUCUUCUCUUCCUACUUAUUAAAACCCCAUCACUCUCCCUUUCGACCUUUCUCUAUUAAACCCUGCUCAUCUAUAAAAUAGUAUCCUCUAUUAAAAGCCUCUCUGCUGCCACACCCUAAUCUUGUUCAUGACUCCAUCCCCUACUCACUAUUAAUGCCCCCUCUCUCUAUUAAGAUGCCCUCCCCAUUUUCUCCAGUAAACCCCUUCUCCAUUAAGAGGUUGGCACGAAGCUCUAGGAAGAUGCUCUGUAGAAUGGACAGAGGUCGAAAUUUAAAUUUUUUGUUCUAUACAGCCGGAAUAGAAGAUUUUGAAAUUUGCUAUUCCUUCUGAAAAUCCACUAUUCCUUAAUUUACUGUUUCUGAGAGCCUGUUCACGCAGGGUCCGCGUUAAUGUUCUGAUUUUCGUAAAAUCAUCCUUGAGACUCCCAAAGUGAACUGAAUAAUUGAUUAACAAAAAAUAAACAUGUACAGUUAUGGUACAAAUAAAAACGAUCCAUUCUUAUUUGCCACAGUCGGAUGAGCAAGACAAAAUUCGCAAA